RNAcentral lists this ribosomal RNA (424 nucleotides) under uncultured Bacteroides sp. RNAcentral's name for it is "bacterial SSU rRNA". It matches the Rfam family "Bacterial small subunit ribosomal RNA", at positions 355 to 776 of the family's 1533-position model. The record is from RNAcentral. Lineage: Bacteria; Pseudomonadati; Bacteroidota; Bacteroidia; Bacteroidales; Bacteroidaceae.
UGAGGAAUAUUGGUCAAUGGAUGAGAGUCUGAACCAGCCAAGUAGCGUGAAGGAUUACAGCCCUAUGGGUUUUAAACUUCUUUUAUAUGAGAGUAACAUGCGCCACGUGUGGUGUAUUGCAAGUAUCAUAAGAAAAAGGAUCGGCUAACUCCGUGCCAGCAGCCGCGGUAAUACGGAGGAUCCGAGCGUUAUCCGGAUUUAUUGGGUUUAAAGGGUGCGUAGGCCGGCUGGUAAGUCAGCGGUGAAACGUCGUUGCUCAACAAUGACCGUGCCGUUGAAACUGCCAGUCUUGAGUGCAUCCAGUGCAUGCGGAAUUCGUGGUGUAGCGGUGAAAUGCUUAGAUAUCACGAAGAACUCCGAUCGCGAAGGCAGCAUGCAGGGGUGCCACUGACGCUGAAGCACGAAAGCGUGGUUAUCAAACAGG